RNAcentral lists this ribosomal RNA (280 nucleotides) under uncultured Staphylococcus sp. Its description in RNAcentral is "partial 16S ribosomal RNA". It matches the Rfam family "Bacterial small subunit ribosomal RNA", at positions 83 to 354 of the family's 1533-position model. Lineage: Bacteria; Bacillati; Bacillota; Bacilli; Caryophanales; Staphylococcaceae. The record is from RNAcentral.
CCUUUGACGUUAGCGGCGGACGGGUGAGUAACACGUGGGUAACCUACCUAUAAGACUGGGAUAACUUCGGGAAACCGGAGCUAAUACCGGAUAAUAUUUCGAACCGCAUGGUUCGAUAGUGAAAGAUGGUUUUGCUAUCACUUAUAGAUGGACCCGCGCCGUAUUAGCUAGUUGGUAAGGUAACGGCUUACCAAGGCGACGAUACGUAGCCGACCUGAGAGGGUGAUCGGCCGACACUGGAACUGAGACACGGUCCAGACUCCUACGGGAGGCAGCAGAA